This 237-nucleotide ribosomal RNA is filed under the name uncultured Staphylococcus sp. Its description in RNAcentral is "partial 16S ribosomal RNA". It matches the Rfam family "Bacterial small subunit ribosomal RNA", at positions 104 to 334 of the family's 1533-position model. The record is from RNAcentral. Lineage: Bacteria; Bacillati; Bacillota; Bacilli; Caryophanales; Staphylococcaceae.
GGGUGAGUAACACGUGGAUAACCUACCUAUAAGGACUGGGAUAACUUCGGGAAACCGGAGCUAAUACCGGAUAAUAUUUUGAACCGCAUGGUUCAAAAGUGAAAGACGGUCUUGCUGUCACUUAUAGAUGGAUCCGCGCUGCAUUAGCUAGUUGGUAAGGUAACGGCUUACCAAGGCAACGAUGCAUAGCCGACCUGAGAGGGUGAUCGGCCACACUGGAACUGAGACACGGUCCAG